AAAAAUCCAAUAGAUCAAGUAAUAGUUAAGUGGGAGAGAAACGGAGAAGUCAAACUUUUUAUUGCACUUUAUAUUAGAACCUCUAUCAAAUAAGCUGCAAAGAUGGUUAGAAGUAUUGAAAUCUAUACUACAAAUGAACAAAAGCAGAAUCAACUCGUGACAAUCUUCCACUAUAUCCUAUUAGUCAGUGUGUAUGACAAAUAUAUAACAUUGCCCAAAACAAAGGGCAGCUCUCAAUGACCAAAGCGAGAAAAAAAUUUCUACACAUCUUUCUGCCAAAGAAUCUAACUCUUCCAUGUGGAGAAAAAAACCGAGAAUGGAGUGUAUCUGAAAACAGCUUAAUUGGCUACAGGCACACCUUGCUCACCAAGUUGAUGAGGGAAAGCAACCUCUCCAGCAGCAGCGACAUGCCUGCGCUGCCGCUCACGAAGGUAAAGCACUGUUAGAAGGCAUACAAAUAGGGUAAGAAUUGUGGCAUUUCCUUCCUCCAUAAUGACAUCCUCCAAAUGCAAAUAGAAGGCAUACAAAUAGGGUAAGAAUUGUUGCAUUUCCUUCCUCCAUUAUGACAUCCUCCACCAUGCUUCCACUUUGGGAUAAAAUUCUGGUAACGAAUCAAUUAUGUGAACCUACAUGAAAAGAAAACGCCAAUAAGGGGGCCAUAUCAAUAUAACUAACUUGUUUCAAGUGAAAAAGAUAUGAUAUUGUUAUAAAUUUUUCUACUAUUUCUUUCUCUCAAACUUUGACAUCAGUUACUACAGCCUCUCCACUGUGCAAAGUAAGCGACCGAUAAAAUUUUAGGAAGAGAAAGGUGGAAUAGAAUGUCAAGCACAAGUAGCACUGAAUUUCUACAUCAGUUAAAUCUGUCUAUUGUUACAUGUAAUCAAGGAAAUAAGAUGGAUCAGCAUUCCUCCUUGGUCCAAGCAAAGAUUUGCCUGCAAGCUGAGCAGCCCAACUAAAGAAAGC
This 963-nucleotide long non-coding RNA is filed under the name Nicotiana benthamiana. Its description in RNAcentral is "long non-coding RNA (NBEN_LNC015159)". The record is from RNAcentral. Lineage: Eukaryota; Viridiplantae; Streptophyta; Magnoliopsida; Solanales; Solanaceae.